RNAcentral lists this ribosomal RNA (258 nucleotides) under uncultured bacterium. Its description in RNAcentral is "partial 16S ribosomal RNA". It matches the Rfam family "Bacterial small subunit ribosomal RNA", at positions 524 to 782 of the family's 1533-position model. The record is from RNAcentral.
UACGGGGGGGGCAAGCGUUGUUCGGAAUCACUGGGCGUAAAGGGCGCGUAGGCGGCCAUUCAAGUCAGAGGUGAAAGCCCAGGGCUUAACCCUGGAAUUGCCUUUGAUACUGUUUGGCUUGAGACCGGAAGAGGUAAGUGGAACUGCGAGUGUAGAGGUGAAAUUCGUAGAUAUUCGCAAGAACACCAGUGGCGAAGGCGGCUUACUGGUCCGGUUCUGACGCUGAGGCGCGAAAGCGUGGGGAGCAACAGGAUAAGA